This is a long non-coding RNA of Armigeres subalbatus, 833 nucleotides long. RefSeq lists it as uncharacterized. The record is from RefSeq and is a predicted model, not a curated record. Lineage: Eukaryota; Metazoa; Arthropoda; Insecta; Diptera; Culicidae. The transcript has 3 exons.
UUAAGUUGUUUUAGCCAUCGCGAAUCGCAUUUAUUUGCUAAACAGAAAUUUAAAACCCUCAAACAUCUCGAGCUCAAAUUUCCAUUGAUGGAAUGGAAACUAUACAGCAGUACCACUACCGGUGAAAGCUUCAUUUAGGACAAGGCAGUUACCCAUAAAGAGCAGAACACCACCCUUUGUUGUUUUCAUGUACCAGAACUACCAAACAGUUUUCGAAAACGAGAAUAAAUCGGUCGAAGAAUGAUUGACCGCCACAGUAAUCAACAACCAGUGUUCAUAAGAGUGAAUGCAUCAAAACCAGCUUACAGAGGUCCAGAAUUGCAUCUAAGCUUUCAUGGCCAGAAUAUGGCCGAUCGCGACACCGCGACACGAGCCGUCGCAAAUCUAUGCUGGCGUUCGGGCCCAAAGAGAACUGUUUCAAAGAUGUCAAAUACGGAGAAACUGGAUACCUCUCGGACUUGAAAGAUAAGUUGUUUUUUCUGACCUUGUCGGGGCAUGGCGCUAUGUUCACCGAUACCUGCAAGGCGUCCCCGAGAAGCCUUGAGGAAGCUGCUACGUAUUGUAAAAAGGUUAAUAUUUAAAUAAAUGAAAUGAAAAGUAAAAAAACAUAUGAAAUUUAAUGGAGUAGAUAGAAAAGAAAGGGUGAAGUAUGGGUUCCGUCUUUUUGAGUAAAUGAAGGAGUAAAUACAAGAUAAUUUUUCAUUUAAAAAUAUCGCACUCUAUUUUAUGAACGGUGUGAUCAUUUUGAUUUGACAGUUCUACAAUUUUGUUUUAAAUGUUUGAACUUUUAAUUUCAGAGCCACGUAAAAGAUUUGAACCGUGGCUCUUGCAAA